This 1919-nucleotide ribosomal RNA is filed under the name seawater metagenome. RNAcentral's name for it is "bacterial LSU rRNA". It matches the Rfam family "Bacterial large subunit ribosomal RNA", at positions 3 to 1980 of the family's 2925-position model. The record is from RNAcentral.
UCAAGCUACAAAGGGCUCACGGCGGAUACCUUGGCACACAGAGGCGAUGAAGGACGUGGUUACCUGCGAUAAGUCUCGGGGAGCUGGAAACACGCUUUGAUCCGGGAAUUUCCGAAUGGGGCAACCCUUAGAACGGCCAGCUGAAUCUAUAGGCUGGCGCGAGCCAACCCAGCGAACUGAAACAUCUUAGUAGCUGGAGGAAAGGAAAGUAAAAACGACUCCCUAAGUAGCGGCGAGCGAACGGGGAAGAGCCUAAACCAAUGGUUUCGACCAUUGGGGUUGUGGGACAGCAACGUGGAUCAGGAAUGUUAGUGGAAGUGUUUGAAAGACACGCCAUAGAAGGUGAAAGCCCCGUACACGAAAACUGAACUGACCUAGCUGUAUCCCGAGUAGCACGGAGCACGUGGAAUUCCGUGUGAAUCAGCGAGGACCACCUCGUAAGGCUAAGUACUCCUGUGUGACCGAUAGCGAAACAGUACCGCGAGGGAAAGGUGAAAAGAACCCCGGGAGGGGAGUGAAAUAGAACAUGAAACCGUGAGCCUACAAGCAAUGGGAGCCCUACUCAUAGGGUGACCGUGUGCCUGUUGAAGAAUGAGCCGGCGACUUAUAGGCACUGGCGGGUUAAACCGGAAAUGGUGGAGCCAUAGCGAAAGCGAGUCUGAAUAGGGCGUUUGUCAGUGUUUAUAGACCCGAACCCGGGUGAUCUAACCAUGGCCAGGAUGAAGCUUGGGUGAUACCAAGUGGAGGUCCGAACCGACUGGCGUUGAAAAGCCAGCGGAUGAGCUGUGGUUAGGGGUGAAAUGCCAAUCGAACCCGGAGCUAGCUGGUUCUCCCCGAAAUACGUUGAGGCGUAGCGUCUCGUGCUCCAGCAGGGGGGUAAAGCCACCAUUUCGGUGCGGGCUGCGAGAGCGGUACCAAAUCGAGAUGAACUCUGAAUACCCUGUGUGUAGCGAGGCAGUCAGACUGUGGGGGAUAAGCUCCAUGGUCGAGAGGGAAACAGCCCAGACCGCCAGCUAAGGUCCCCAAAUCAACACUAAGUGAUAAAGGAGGUGGGAUUGCCCAGACAACCAGGAGGUUUGCCUAGAAGCAGCCAUCCUCAAAGGAGUGCGUAAUAGCUCACUGGUCGAGCGAUCCUGCACCGAAAAUGAACGGGGCUAAGUGUUGUACCGAAGCUGCGGAUUUAUGGUAGGGGAGCGUUCUAUGUGGGGCGAAGCGUUAGCGUGAGCGGGCGUGGACUGCAUAGAAGUGAGAAUGUCGGCUUGAGUAGCGAAAACAUGGGUGAGAAUCCCAUGCACCGAAACCCUAAGGGUUCCUCCGGCAGGCUCGUCCGCGGAGGGUUAGUCUGGACCUAAGGCGAGGCCGAAAGGCGUAGUCGAUGGAUAACAGGUCAACAUUCCUGUACCGGUCAUGUUUUGGGAAGAGGGACGGAGAAGGCUAGCCAAGCCAGAUGUUGGUUACUGGUUCAAGCGUUCGAGGCGUUGAGGAGCGGUGAAAACGUUCCGAGCUGAGGCGUGAGUACGAGCUGCUACGGCAGCGAAGUUGGUGACGUCAUGCUUCCAAGAAAAGCUCUAUACCCGUUAAGACAUGAUUGCCAGUACCCGAAACCGACACAGGUGGGGUGGUAGAGAAUACCGAGGUGCGCGAGGUAACUCUCUCUAAGGAACUCGGCAAAAUGGCCCCGUAACUUCGGGAGAAGGGGUGCCACAGCAAUGUGGUCGCAGUGAAGAGGCCCUGGCGACUGUUUACCAAAAACACAGGUCUCCGCUAAGUCGCAAGACGAUGUAUGGGGGCUGACGCCUGCCCAGUGCCGGAAGGUUAAGGAAGCCGGUCAGCGUAAGCGAAGCUGGCGACUGAAGCCCCGGUGAACGGCGGCCGUAACUAUAACGGUCCUAAGGUAGCGAAAUUCCUUGUCGGGUAAG